Drosophila subobscura is the source of this 566-nucleotide long non-coding RNA. RefSeq lists it as uncharacterized. The record is from RefSeq and is a predicted model, not a curated record. NCBI's taxonomy places the organism in Eukaryota, Metazoa, Arthropoda, Insecta, Diptera, Drosophilidae. The transcript is spliced from 2 exons.
UCGGCAGCUCAGCCAGAUGUCCUGAAACCAGAGCCGGAGUCAGCGCCAGCCAGAGCCAAAGCCAUAGCGAUAGCCGGACUCGGACCCAGAGCCCGACACAGAGCCCAGUGCCAUUGCACGGGGCUACGGCAACGGCUGCUGCUCGCACGACACCGCCAAAAAGGCAAAAGUCCAACCCGACCGGUUCCGACCCCGAACGAGCGCAGCAUCUCCUGAAAAAGUGGAAUACAAAUGAAUAGGAAAACGGCUCGGCUCGGUUCAGUUACGCGCAAGAUUUCAACACAAAUCGUAGCACAUUUCACGGCGGCAGACGCGGCGUGCGCAGCGCACGGGCAGAUUGCACCCAAGGCAGAAAAAUGUAAAAACACAGCCGCCCCACCUUCAAGACAGUCUCAAAAGCGCACAAAAAAAAAAAGAAAUAUAGCCAAUGAAAUAAAUAAUAAAUUAUAGCUUAAGCUUUCGACCUUAAAACGAAACGAAACGCACAAAAAAACAAGCCAAAUCAAAUCGAAAUAAGUAAUUGUUUAAACAUUAAAAUAGAGGAAGAAAUCACAAGGAAUUGGAUA